Molecule: unclassified non-coding RNA, 235 nt
Filed under: plant metagenome
Description: partial contains small subunit ribosomal RNA, internal transcribed spacer 1, and 5.8S ribosomal RNA
Source: RNAcentral
UUUCCGUAGGUGAACCUGCGGAAGGAUCAUUAACGAGUAAGGGUCAUUCUGGCCCGAACUCCAACCCUUUGUUUAAUUAUUAGGUUGCUUGGGCGGGCCUGUUUCACGACCGCAGAAAAUCCUCGGACUUCACGCCCGUGCCCGCCAAUAGCCUUCUACAAACUCUUGAUCAAUUGUGAUGUCUGAGUAAUAAAUUUAAUAGUUAAAACUUUCGACAACGGAUCUCUUGGUUCUG